This 76-nucleotide transfer RNA is filed under the name Chromatiales bacterium. RNAcentral describes it as "tRNA-Gly". It matches the Rfam family "tRNA". From Rfam's summary of the family: Transfer RNA (tRNA) molecules are approximately 80 nucleotides in length. Their secondary structure includes four short double-helical elements and three loops (D, anti-codon, and T loops). Lineage: Bacteria; Pseudomonadati; Pseudomonadota; Gammaproteobacteria; Chromatiales. The record is from RNAcentral. RNAcentral also lists the same sequence under 2 other names.
GCGGGCGUAGCUCAGUUGGUAGAGCACAACCUUGCCAAGGUUGGGGUCGCGAGUUCGAGUCUCGUCGCCCGCUCCA